Molecule: long non-coding RNA, 515 nt
Filed under: Homo sapiens (human)
Lineage: Eukaryota; Metazoa; Chordata; Mammalia; Primates; Hominidae
Description: HSALNT0036590
Source: RNAcentral
CGGAAAGCCCACCCCAAGGGAACAAUCAGGGAAGAAGGAACGCAAGACGGUGGAAGCAUGCCAACCUAUUAAACCGCAAGUCAGAGAUCAAACCAUGUACUUGAAUCUCUCAAGUUCCCGGCUUAACCCUCUUCCAAGUAUCCUCAUUUGAAAAUGGAAAAAGAAAAGAAAUGGAGGCAUUGUGUGAUAUUUGCCUAAAUAUAACUAAAGAGAUCCAUUUAUUUUUAGUGUUUGAUUAAAAACCCUCAAAGGAAAAGAGAAAUUUUGAUCUUUGAGAAGAGCUGUUUCAUCACAGGGUGAGCGUUCUUUAUUCUUCCUUGCCAUUUAAGAGUUUAAAAGGUUGGGAAAGAGAGCUUUCCUUUUUCUGUUUUCCCACUCUCUAGGGUUCUUAUGGGUUAACUCCUCCUCCUUCUUUCCAGAUGCCACCAGGACCCAUUUCUGGCAACAGGGAGCACGAAAUGAUGCCUCCAAGUGUAAGAUAGAGGCUUCUAGGCAGGAAGUGAUGGAAAAGGGCU